Molecule: ribosomal RNA, 541 nt
Filed under: Streptococcus thermophilus
Lineage: Bacteria; Bacillati; Bacillota; Bacilli; Lactobacillales; Streptococcaceae
Description: bacterial SSU rRNA
Rfam family: Bacterial small subunit ribosomal RNA
Source: RNAcentral
GAUGAGUUGCGAACGGGUGAGUAACGCGUAGGUAACCUGCCUUGUAGCGGGGGAUAACUAUUGGAAACGAUAGCUAAUACCGCAUAACAAUGGAUGACACAUGUCAUUUAUUUGAAAGGGGCAAUUGCUCCACUACAAGAUGGACCUGCGUUGUAUUAGCUAGUAGGUGAGGUAAUGGCUCACCUAGGCGACGAUACAUAGCCGACCUGAGAGGGUGAUCGGCCACACUGGGACUGAGACACGGCCCAGACUCCUACGGGAGGCAGCAGUAGGGAAUCUUCGGCAAUGGGGGCAACCCUGACCGAGCAACGCCGCGUGAGUGAAGAAGGUUUUCGGAUCGUAAAGCUCUGUUGUAAGUCAAGAACGGGUGUGAGAGUGGAAAGUUCACACUGUGACGGUAGCUUACCAGAAAGGGACGGCUAACUACGUGCCAGCAGCCGCGGUAAUACGUAGGUCCCGAGCGUUGUCCGGAUUUAUUGGGCGUAAAGCGAGCGCAGGCGGUUUGAUAAGUCUGAAGUUAAAGGCUGUGGCUCAACCAUAG